This 445-nucleotide long non-coding RNA is filed under the name Arabidopsis lyrata. Its description in RNAcentral is "long non-coding RNA (ALYR_LNC000296)". Lineage: Eukaryota; Viridiplantae; Streptophyta; Magnoliopsida; Brassicales; Brassicaceae. The record is from RNAcentral.
UUGUUCCUUCCUUUUCUGGUAAACCUCAAAUCUCUCAUCCAUCAUUUUAGCCAUAGAAGCCGUGAGAGUAGUUGUAAGAGUGGAUGUGAGAGCUUCCAUCAAUAGCUUGUUGUUUUGUAUAUUGUUGCUCUAUUCCUCAUCUUUACUAAACAUGUUUCUGCAACUAGAAGACACAACAGUAUCAAAUUCCUUUUAAACAGAUCAAAUCAGACCCAUAAACACAAAAAACAUGAACCCUAGAAUCUGAAAAGUUCAAACAAGUCUAAGAAGGUGAAAAGUUCACGUUUUCCAAAUCGCACGAUUGAGUACAGAAUCCUAUAGUUCAGAACGUGAAUAAAACGAUUUAACAAGUUUCGUUACGAUCCGAUAAGUAUUCAAGCGUGAAACGACGAACGAAUUUUGACGAACAGAGAAUACCAAGAGUUUAGAAUAACACAACCUGAUA